CAGGAAACUGCUUGCUAGGUCAUAUUGAAUCCACAACUAAAGGGGGUACACUACUCAUGGACUGUUGCAUAUCUAAUCGUUCCAGAGGAUUGCACAAGUAAUAAAUACAAAGGUUAAAUUAGAUUUCUUCAAUUUGUUGCAGGUAUGAACUAGAUACAACAAUAUCAACAGUGCAGCCAACAGUUCUGUUUUUGACCUGCUAUAAACUGAUACAGAAGGGGGAAAAAUAAUAAAAAAAGAUCAAGCCUGGCAGAUUCGCAACCGUUAAUCUGGACUUCUUAAUUCCCAACUUCCUGUACAACGGUUUUUAACUCCCACCAACAUCCUUCCACCCAAAAAAUAGUGAAAGGAAAUGAAAAGGCAACAGAGUCCAGAAAUGAUAAUAGCUCUUGAAACUCUCUGUCUCAAGUGGAAUAAGAUAUACAGUUCUUUACACCAGCAUGCUGUGUUCUCAAUUGCAAGGAGCUGAUGAAUUGGCCAUCUCCUAUUUAAGCAGUCUUCAUUCCCAAAUGAACUUGUGCGUCGACCAGAAUCAUUACAGCUGACAGGAAAAGAUGCUGAAUUAAUGACUUGAGGUGAAAUCGUAUAGUUGUCAGGUUAAAAGCUGUAACUACUGGGGAAUAAUUUGAGUGCCGCCAAGUGCCAAAUAUUCAUAUCCUCUCCUUACAUGUCCAAUAAGCUAUUUACAGUAUGAACUCUGCAACCAAGCAUUCAGAUUCUGCUUCCAAAAAUAUCUUCCGCCAUUCAAGCUUCCAUAGGCAUAGGAUCCAACUUAUUCACUAGGUCUACCUUUACUUUUAAGGCACAUAUUGGAAAUAUUUUGGCUCAUGAUUAUAAUAAAAAUAUGAAUGAAGCACUCAAUGGCAUAUACAAUGCCUGGAAACUGUUCUUAGACCAAGGCUUCCAGUGCAUGCUAGAUUCCAUUGGUGCGACCAAGCAUUGGCGAGCUUGGAUUCAGGUCCAAGGAUGGCUUCAACUUCACAUGAUCCCUUAAGAGCUGUUGAGACACACGAUCAACUAGUACAGGCUGCCCAUUAUAAAGUUCCCUGGGGUCCCCAUGGCCAGGUCGUCCAAACUGGUUUUCAGAGGCACCAUUAUCUGAUGAAAUCCUCUCUCGAAAAACAUGAGAGGCUUGUGACAUCCCUCGAAAUAGAUCAGGCUUGGGCUCAUGAUAUGGAUCAUUGCCAUUGGUAUACAAAAUGUUUUGGGACCUUGAGAUCAUUCCCAUGCUUUCUUGCAAGUAAGUUGCUGACUGCAUUAGGUGAUGAAAUGGUGUUGCACCACUACCACCAGUAAGAGGUGUGGAUGAACCCGAUGCAGUAUGAGGGCUAGAUAUAGGAGAUGGAGAUAGCCUUCCGCUCACAUGUUGUGGGGACCUUGAAUUCAGAAGAGGGCUCUCAAUAGGUGAAACCGGACAUGACGCAUUCUUCGGUGCAUGGACAUCACUCAAUCCUGCACCAGUUUUUGAGCCUCUAGAUUGAUGGAUAGCAACCCCUUCUGAUUCAAAGCCUGCGAUGUUUCUUGCAUGCCCAAUGCCCAUUGAUCUUCCUACAUUCAUAACUGCAGAUGUUGCUUCUGUGGCCUCAGCAGUUAAAAUUGGUUUCUCCAGUGCAGCAGCAUUUUUCACAAAAGGGUGCUCCAAAAGUUCAGCAGCUGUAGGGCGAUGUGAUGGGUUCCGUUGCAAGCAUUGCCUCACGAAGUCCUUUCCAUCAUCUGACAAAUUAUCAGGAAAUGCAGGAAGCUCCUUGCCGUUUCCAAUCUUAAACAUAGCAGCAAACUUUCAAGAAGCCAAUGAAGCAAAAUAUGGGAUAAGAAACAGGUUGAACAAUCCACAUUUCAGGAUUUAAAUGCUUUCACCAGGAGACAUUCAUAAGUAACUCCAUUCAUAUUGUAAACUAUCUCUCUAUCUGAUAAAACUUAUUUGAAUUUUUAACUUAAAUUUAACUAACCCCUUCAUACUGGCUCCAUGGUGGUUUUGUUGUUGCCAUCUUCAACACCGUACACCCAAGGCUUCAUAAAUCAACAGCAAGAGUACAACCAUUUGAAUUCCUUAUCACCUGAAAAUAAUUAAUGCAUUGAAAAGCAACUAUGUGAAAUCAUCACAAAGAAAAGAGGAAUUGGAGCAUGCAGGAACAGAAUAACAACCUCAGUUGCCAUCCAUUAAUGGCUUCCCUUGAAUGAUAGUGGACAAGACAGCCCAGUAAUCUGAGAUUAGUUUAGCGAAAAUGGGUUAGAACACAUAGCCUUGACCAAAGCAUCUUCUCAUUCUUGUUUCCUAUCUAAACUAAACAACUAGCAUCUACAGGCAUUUCAUUUCCUUACUGCAUACACAUAAAUUUCAUAUUUUUACAAAAAUUUUAGAUGCGUAUUCUUUCACGGUUUGCCAUUCCUAAAUUGGCCAGUUUGACUCGGCCACUGGGGUCUACAAGUAUAUUAGCUCCUUUUAUGUCUCUGGAUAUGAUAAAAGCUAGACAUAAGCGCGGUCAUGCUCCAAUAUUUGAUAAACUAUGGUUCUAAUAUUCCCAACAACAUGAAAUAGCUAUAAAAAUCUCACCUGUGGACAGUGUUUUUGGCCUGCAGGAAAGCAAGCCCAUACAAGAUUUGUUGAGUGUAAUUACGAAUGGCCAUUUCACCAAACUGUCCAAACUCCUGAAGAAGUUUAUAGAUGGAACCACCCGAAACAUACUCCAAGUAUAUAUAUAAUUUAUCAUCCACCUGUUCAUCAAAUAAAAAAUUGAGUUAACAAAACCUAAAUGACUGAUUGCUAAUCAACUAGAUUGGCAUGGUGCAGUCAUACACAUUACUAAACACUAAAUCUCAUAGAUUUUACAAAAGCAGAUCCACUUUGAAAUUGUUGCAACCUCUUAGCAGUCUCACAUUCUUUUAAUGCAUUAUGGUAAAAGAAAUACUUAUAAAAUAUAUUAAUCAGGAAUUACUUAUUUAUUUUCAAAAGGCAACAAUCUUAAAGCAGACCGCAUCAACCUCACACAAAAGUAAUGUCCUUGAGAUUGAUAAAGUGCCUACCAUUUCAAAUCCAUAAUAAUGUACUAUAUUAGGAUGUCGUAAG
RNAcentral lists this unclassified non-coding RNA (3067 nucleotides) under Hevea brasiliensis (rubber tree). The record is from RNAcentral. Lineage: Eukaryota; Viridiplantae; Streptophyta; Magnoliopsida; Malpighiales; Euphorbiaceae.